This 228-nucleotide ribosomal RNA is filed under the name Triticum aestivum (bread wheat). Its description in RNAcentral is "partial small subunit ribosomal RNA". The record is from RNAcentral. Lineage: Eukaryota; Viridiplantae; Streptophyta; Magnoliopsida; Poales; Poaceae.
AUGAUCUGGCAUGUAUAGAAUGAAAACUUCAUUCUCAAUUCUACGAGAAUUUGUAUGAAAGUGUUUCAUUUGCUUCUCUUCAAUGGAGGUUUCAUUUUCCGAGAAUGUAUCCUAAUUUUUUGCCUAAUUCUUCUUCUGAUGAUCGAUUCAACCUCUGGUAAAAAAGAUAGACCUUGGCUCCCCACAUUCCUAAAUAUAAGACCUUUUGGAGAUUCUAAUCCACUAUAA